RNAcentral lists this transfer RNA (81 nucleotides) under Candidatus Liberibacter americanus str. Sao Paulo. It matches the Rfam family "tRNA". Rfam says of the family: Transfer RNA (tRNA) molecules are approximately 80 nucleotides in length. Lineage: Bacteria; Pseudomonadati; Pseudomonadota; Alphaproteobacteria; Hyphomicrobiales; Rhizobiaceae. The record is from Rfam by way of RNAcentral.
GCGGUCGUGGCGGAAUGGUAUACGCGCAGCGUUGAGGUCGCUGUAGGGCAACCUGUGGAAGUUCGAGUCUUCUCGACCGCA